RNAcentral lists this ribosomal RNA (497 nucleotides) under uncultured bacterium. Its description in RNAcentral is "partial 16S ribosomal RNA". It matches the Rfam family "Bacterial small subunit ribosomal RNA", at positions 28 to 507 of the family's 1533-position model. The record is from RNAcentral.
GACGAACGCUGGCGGCGUGCCUAAUACAUGCAAGUUGAGCGAUGAAGAUUGGUGCUUGCACCAAUUUGAAGAGCAGCGAACGGGUGAGUAACGCGUGGGGAAUCUGCCUUUGAGCGGGGGACAACAUUUGGAAACGAAUGCUAAUACCGCAUAACAACUUUAAACAUAAGUUUUAAGUUUGAAAGAUGCAAUUGCAUCACUCAAAGAUGAUCCCGCGUUGUAUUAGCUAGUUGGUGAGGUAAAGGCUCACCAAGGCGAUGAUACAUAGCCGACCUGAGGGGGUGAUCGGCCACAUUGGGACUGAGACACGGCCCAAACUCCUACGGGAGGCAGCAGUAGGGAAUCUUCGGCAAUGGACGAAAGUCUGACCGAGCAACGCCGCGUGAGUGAAGAAGGUUUUCGGAUCGUAAAACUCGGUUGGUAGAGAAGAACGUUGGUGAGAGUGGAAAGCUCAUCAAGUGACGGUAACUACCCAGAAAGGGACGGCUAACUACGUG